UGGUGGAGCGAUUUGUCUGGUUAAUUCCGAUAACGAACGAGACUCUGACCUACUAAAUAGUUGGCAGUUCAAUACGACUGCAAAACUUCUUAGAGGGACUAGCGGUGCUAACCGCACGAGAUAGAGCAAUAACA
This 134-nucleotide ribosomal RNA is filed under the name uncultured eukaryote. Its description in RNAcentral is "partial 18S ribosomal RNA". It matches the Rfam family "Eukaryotic small subunit ribosomal RNA", at positions 1299 to 1458 of the family's 1831-position model. The record is from RNAcentral.